RNAcentral lists this unclassified non-coding RNA (348 nucleotides) under soil metagenome. Its description in RNAcentral is "partial contains 5.8S ribosomal RNA, internal transcribed spacer 2, and large subunit ribosomal RNA". The stretch from base 1 to 120 matches the Rfam family "5.8S ribosomal RNA", at positions 35 to 154 of the family's 154-position model. The record is from RNAcentral.
GAUGAGGAACGCAGCGAAAUGCGAUAAGUAAUGUGAAUUGCAGAAUUCAGUGAAUCAUCGAGUCUUUGAACGCACAUUGCGCCCCCUGGUAUUCCGGGGGGCAUGCCUGUCCGAGCGUCAUUGCCGCCCUCAAGCACGGCUUGUGUGUUGGGCCCCCGCCCCCCGGCUUCGGGGGGCGGGCCCGAAAGGCAGCGGCGGCACCGCGUCCGGUCCUCGAGCGUAUGGGGCUUCGUCACCCGCUCUGUAGGCCCGGCCGGCGCCCGCCGGCGACCCCAAUCAAUCUUUCCAGGUUGACCUCGGAUCAGGUAGGGAUACCCGCUGAACUUAAGCAUAUCAAUAAGCGGAGGA